Molecule: non-coding RNA, 21 nt
Filed under: Caenorhabditis elegans
Lineage: Eukaryota; Metazoa; Nematoda; Chromadorea; Rhabditida; Rhabditidae
Source: RNAcentral
UGCCAAAACUUCAGCUUUGGU